RNAcentral lists this ribosomal RNA (32 nucleotides) under Savalia aff. savaglia FS-2010. Its description in RNAcentral is "partial 5.8S ribosomal RNA". Lineage: Eukaryota; Metazoa; Cnidaria; Anthozoa; Zoantharia; Parazoanthidae. The record is from RNAcentral.
UCCCAGGAAAUAAUGUCUGUCUGAGUGUCGGU